This is a long non-coding RNA of Monodelphis domestica (gray short-tailed opossum), 2035 nucleotides long. RefSeq lists it as uncharacterized. The record is from RefSeq and is a predicted model, not a curated record. Lineage: Eukaryota; Metazoa; Chordata; Mammalia; Didelphimorphia; Didelphidae.
AGGUCAUCGGCCGCCAGCAGCCCGGAGUGGGGGGUGGGGGUGUUUCAGAGAGAGCGCCCGCCCCUCCCCAUCCCCCAAUCCUUUCUCCCUCCCCCCUUCCUUCCAGUCUCCCUUCCUCUCUCUCUCUUUUCCCUCUCCUCCACUCCCCUUUCCCCCUUCCCUUCCCCCACUCUCCCUGCCUCCCUCUUUCACCUCCUCCCUUCCCCCUCCCCAUCUUCCCCGGGCCCCUGCGGGAUCUGAAUGCCGGGAAGCCCCGGAUCGCCUUAGUGGGCCCCGAUGCGAAGGAUGCCCAGGAGGGACCCGACCUGGCGCGGACGCGUUGGUUGUUUAUAAUGCGGAGUGAUUCCUGGAAGAUUCGUACUGGGAGGCUGAGGGGAGACGGGGCUCAGGCUGGCCCCUAAACUGGACCGUGUGAAAUGAGAUGUCAGGAGGUGACCUCCACGUUCUUUUCCAGCUCGCACAAUUCUAGGAGUGACAAAGAGCUCCAUUAUCGGAGCUUCCCGGCAGCGUGGAACCCUGGAAAUGGUAUCUGGGGAGAUCUGGGUUUGAGUCCCAUCUGAUCCUGGACCAGCUGAGUGACCUUGGACAAAUCCCAGCCUCUCUGAACCUCAGUUUCCUCAUCUGUCAAGGGGAGAAGAUGGUGGCAGCUACCUCAUCGGGUGAGGUCACACACAGCAUAAAACAACCCUGGGAAUGUCAGCUAGAAUUGUUGUCAUCCUCAUCAGUUCUGUCUUUCCUGAAGGAAAUGAAAUGCGUCCAGGGCCGGGCACUGAAGGCCUCCAGCCGUGAUGGAUGUCCCCAGCCUUCCUCUCUCCUGGGGUUCCUCUAGGGCACACAAUUUCAGGUCAGGGUCAGGGCCACAGAUGCAAUCUGGGCCAGGGAACAGAGCAUUCCUCGGGACACACAGUUAGCUGGCCAGCCCAGGAGCACACGGGGCACCCAAGCCUAUUUUCUCUUAGAACAUACUAAUCCCAAACACGAGGACCUUUUUGCAGAGCCUGACCUUGCCAAAGCAAAGGAGAAAGAAAGGAGGAGGUGGGACUGCAGUGAAGUCUGGCAACUCUCCGGGAGACAGGAACCAACUAAUUAAUGUGCUAAUCGUUGUUCUUAGUUGGGAGAGCUCUCCGCAACAGGAAUAGCCUAGUUUAGAGGGGAGCUGGGUCCACACAAGAGCUAGGGCCUAAUGCCCAAUGACCAUUACCUGGUCAGGCCAGUGGAUUUCCCCACUACAAGUUUCAUCUGUACAAUGGGGUAAUAGCACCUCCAUCACAGAGUAAUUCUGAGGAAAGUGCUUUGUAAGCUACAAAAGGUACUGCACAAACAGGGAUGGAAAAAGGCCUGUGAGGUCAUUGGUAUAGGGCAGUGAUGGCGAACCUUUUAGAGGGGCAGAUGAUGUCUUUAGGCAUUCGUAGAGAAGGGGAGGAGAGCAGGCCAGCCUCAUGUCCCUCUGGCUUUCUAGUAACAAAUUCUGGUAAACUCUGUGCUGGGACGAUAGAGGACAUGCCCAUAUCUGGCACACGUGCCAUAGUCACCACCACAGGUAGAGGGAAUGCCUGGGUACAGAAACCCACUCUACUUAUGCCAGUGGGCACAUUCUCUACCAACCAUCUUAGCAAAUUGUCUCAAGCAAAAGAAUCAAGCACAAAGCCUUUCCCAAACCAAAUUAAAAAAACAAACAAAUAAAAAUAUAAUAGAACAUAAUGUUAAUAUGUGUUAUCUAAGUCAGCAUAUGAUCCUUAAGUACAAAUUAGUAGCCUUGUUUCUGAGUUUGACACCACUGGUCUAGAGACCAGAAGCCAAGGUCAGAGAGUUAUUAUGGACCAGAAAUCUUCCUGGCUUCAAGGAUGAUCCUUUCCUAAACUAGACUACCUUUGACUACAGAAAUAGGAGAUUGUUAUUAUCUUGAUUUCCCCAUCUGAAAAAAAGGAAAAUGAUUGUUUAGAUUCUAAUGGUUACAAAGGUGACAGAUGUGUGUGAGAGAGUUAGAAAUUACCUAGAGAGAUGGAUGGAUGGAUGGAUGGACGGAUGGAUGGAU